RNAcentral lists this ribosomal RNA (435 nucleotides) under Gammaproteobacteria bacterium. RNAcentral describes it as "bacterial SSU rRNA". It matches the Rfam family "Bacterial small subunit ribosomal RNA", at positions 1 to 403 of the family's 1533-position model. The record is from RNAcentral. Lineage: Bacteria; Pseudomonadati; Pseudomonadota; Gammaproteobacteria.
GAGCCAAGAUUUGUCGCCUUAAGCGACUAAAGUGAUUGAACUGAAGAGUUUGAUCCUGGCUCAGAUUGAACGCUGGCGGCAUGCCUAACACAUGCAAGUCGAACGGUAACAGGCCUUCGGGCGCUGACGAGUGGCGGACGGGUGAGUAAUGCGUAGGAAUCUGCCCAGUAGCGGGGGACAACUUAGGGAAACUUAAGCUAAUACCGCAUACGCCCUACGGGGGAAAGCAGGGGAUCUUCGGACCUUGCACUAUUGGAUGAGCCUACGCCGGAUUAGCUAGUUGGUAGGGUAAAAGCCUACCAAGGCGACGAUCCGUAGCUGGUCUGAGAGGACGAUCAGCCACACUGGGACUGAGACACGGCCCAGACUCCUACGGGAGGCAGCAGUGGGGAAUAUUGGACAAUGGGGGCAACCCUGAUCCAGCAAUGCCGCGUG